CAGUAGCCGCGGUAACACGUAGGUGGCAAGCGUUGUCCGGAAUUAUUGGGCGUAAAGGGCUCGCAGGCGGUUUCUUAAGUCUGAUGUGAAAGCCCCCGGCUCAACCGGGGAGGGUCAUUGGAAACUGGGAAACUUGAGUGCAGAAGAGGAGAGUGGAAUUCCACGUGUAGCGGUGAAAUGCGUAGAGAUGUGGAGGAACACCAGUGGCGAGGGCGACUCUCUGGUCUGUAACUGACGCUGAGGAGCGAAAGCGUGGGGAGCGAACAGGAUUAGAUACCCGCGUAGUCCCUGUCUCUUAUAC
Molecule: ribosomal RNA, 301 nt
Filed under: uncultured bacterium
Lineage: Bacteria
Description: partial 16S ribosomal RNA
Rfam family: Bacterial small subunit ribosomal RNA
Source: RNAcentral